This is a non-coding RNA of Trachemys scripta elegans, 796 nucleotides long. Lineage: Eukaryota; Metazoa; Chordata; Testudines; Emydidae. The record is from the annotation of a RefSeq genome assembly.
UUAGAUCAAUGUUAUUUAGCUGAAUCACAGCUCCAGAACAGAGGUAUCGGGUACAUUUCUAAAGGCACCUUCUUGGGUACAACAUUCUCGCCUUCUCUGAACUGAAGCAACAAGACAGGAAUAUACAAAUUCUUAUUGGUUUAGGAACUAGCUCUGUUUCCUCGAAGAAUCUUUCAGUCCGGACAUGACUCUGCCUUGGCUCUCAGCUGUGAUAAUCGUGUCUGUUCUAAAAGGCAGCUAUGGAGCAGACUCAGUGACCCAAACUGAAGGCAGCGUUAUCAUCUCCCAAGGGGACCCGGUGCGUCUGAACUGUAGCUAUCAAUUUUCUGUCCCUGCUUAUCCCUUCUGGUACGUGCACCUCCCCAACCAGCCCCCCAGGCUCUUCCUGAGAGACCUGGGACGGGAGGACUCCGAUGAAGGGAUCAGAAAAGGGUUCGAUGCCACCCACGAUAAACAGCACAAAUCCUUCCACCUGUGGAAACCGUCCAGCGAACUGAGCGACUCCGCGACCUAUUACUGCGCCGCGAGAGACACAGUGACACGGACCAACACGGGAGCUGAGCAAAAACCGCGCAGGGAGGGGAUGUGCGGAGCUGCGGGGAGGCAGAGGCGGGCACCUGGGUGUGGAGAAGGCAUCUAUGGAGCAGACUCGGUGACCCAAACUGACGACAGCGUUAUCAUCUCCCAAGGGGACCCGGUGCGUCUGAACUGCACAUAUCAGAUUUCUGGAUUUCCUUAUCCCUUCUGUUUUACCAUCUGGGGAAUGAAGAAGGUCAUGCAUCACCGGGCUAAGUGA